RNAcentral lists this ribosomal RNA (497 nucleotides) under uncultured bacterium. Its description in RNAcentral is "partial 16S ribosomal RNA". It matches the Rfam family "Bacterial small subunit ribosomal RNA", at positions 28 to 507 of the family's 1533-position model. The record is from RNAcentral.
GACGAACGCUAGCGGCGUGCCUAAUACAUGCAAGUUGAGCGGUGAAGGUUGGUACUUGUCCCGAGUGGGUGAGCAGCGAACGGGUGCGUAACGCGUGGAGAAUCUUCCUUUAAGCGGGGGACAACAUAGGGAAACGAGUGCUAAUACCGCAUAAAAACUUUAAACACAAGUAUUAAGUUUGUAAGAUGCCAGUGCAUCACGAAAAGUUGAUGUCGCGUUGUAUUAGCUAGUUGGUGAGGGAAAGGCUCACCAACGCGAUGAUACAUAGCCGACAUGAGAUGGGGAUCGGCCACAAUGGGACUGAGACACGGCCCAAACCCCUACGGGAGGCAGUAGUAGGGAAUCUUCGGCAAUGGACGAAAGUCUGACCGAGCAACGCCGCGUGAGGGAAGAAGGUUUUCGGAUCGUAAAACUCUGUUGGUAGAGAAGAACGUUGGUGAGAGUGUAAAGCUCAUCAAGUGACGGUAACUACCCAGAAAGGGACGGCUAACUACGUG